RNAcentral lists this ribosomal RNA (247 nucleotides) under uncultured bacterium. RNAcentral describes it as "partial 16S ribosomal RNA". It matches the Rfam family "Bacterial small subunit ribosomal RNA", at positions 87 to 334 of the family's 1533-position model. The record is from RNAcentral.
UUGACUGAGUGGCGGACGGGUGAGUAACGCGUGGGUAACCUGCCUCAUACAGGGGGAUAACAGUUAGAAAUGACUGCUAAUACCGCAUAAGACCACGGUACCGCAUGGUACAGGGGUAAAAACUCCGGUGGUAUGAGAUGGACCCGCGUCUGAUUAGGUAGUUGGUGGGGUAACGGCCUACCAAGCCGACGAUCAGUAGCCGACCUGAGAGGGUGACCGGCCACAUUGGGACUGAGACACGGCCCAA